This 394-nucleotide ribosomal RNA is filed under the name uncultured bacterium. RNAcentral's name for it is "bacterial SSU rRNA". It matches the Rfam family "Bacterial small subunit ribosomal RNA", at positions 28 to 417 of the family's 1533-position model. The record is from RNAcentral.
GAUGAACGCUAGCGGCAGGCUUAAUACAUGCAAGUCGUGGGGCAGCAUGAGUAGCAAUACUUGAUGGCGACCGGCAAACGGGUGAGGAACACGUACACAACCUUCCUUCAAGCGGGGAAUAGCCCAGAGAAAUUUGGAUUAAUACCCCCAUAAUAUAUUUGAUAAGGCAUCUUAUUAAUAUUAAAGCUUCGGCACUUGAUGAUGGGUGUGCGGCUGAUUAGAUAGUUGGCGGGUAACGGCCCACCAAGUCUACGAUCAGUAGCUGAUGUGAGAGCAUGAUCAGCCACACGGGCACUGAGACACGGGCCCGACUCCUACGGGAGGCAGCAGUAAGGAAUAUUGGACAAUGGACGAAAGUCUAGAUCCAGCCAUGCCGCGUGAAGGAUUAAGGUCC